Molecule: ribosomal RNA, 1372 nt
Filed under: uncultured bacterium
Lineage: Bacteria
Description: bacterial SSU rRNA
Rfam family: Bacterial small subunit ribosomal RNA
Source: RNAcentral
GAUGAACGCUGGCGGCGUGCCUAAUACAUGCAAGUCGAGCGAACGGACGAGAAGCUUGCUUCUCUGAUGUUAGCGGCGGACGGGUGAGUAACACGUGGAUAACCUACCUAUAAGACUGGGAUAACUUCGGGAAACCGGAGCUAAUACCGGAUAAUAUUUUGAACCGCAUGGUUCAAAAGUGAAAGACGGUCUUGCUGUCACUUAUAGAUGGAUCCGCGCUGCAUUAGCUAGUUGGUAAGGUAACGGCUUACCAAGGCAACGAUGCAUAGCCGACCUGAGAGGGUGAUCGGCCACACUGGAACUGAGACACGGUCCAGACUCCUACGGGAGGCAGCAGUAGGGAAUCUUCCGCAAUGGGCGAAAGCCUGACGGAGCAACGCCGCGUGAGUGAUGAAGGUCUUCGGAUCGUAAAACUCUGUUAUUAGGGAAGAACAUAUGUGUAAGUAACUGUGCACAUCUUGACGGUACCUAAUCAGAAAGCCACGGCUAACUACGUGCCAGCAGCCGCGGUAAUACGUAGGUGGCAAGCGUUAUCCGGAAUUAUUGGGCGUAAAGCGCGCGUAGGCGGUUUUUUAAGUCUGAUGUGAAAGCCCACGGCUCAACCGUGGAGGGUCAUUGGAAACUGGAAAACUUGAGUGCAGAAGAGGAAAGUGGAAUUCCAUGUGUAGCGGUGAAAUGCGCAGAGAUAUGGAGGAACACCAGUGGCGAAGGCGACUUUCUGGUCUGUAACUGACGCCGAUGUGCGAAAGCGUGGGGAUCAAACAGGAUUAGAUACCCUGGUAGUCCACGCCGUAAACGAUGAGUGCUAAGUGUUAGGGGGUUUCCGCCCCUUAGUGCUGCAGCUAACGCAUUAAGCACUCCGCCUGGGGAGUACGACCGCAAGGUUGAAACUCAAAGGAAUUGACGGGGACCCGCACAAGCGGUGGAGCAUGUGGUUUAAUUCGAAGCAACGCGAAGAACCUUACCAAAUCUUGACAUCCUUUGACAACUCUAGAGAUAGAGCUUUCCCCUUCGGGGGACAAAGUGACAGGUGGUGCAUGGUUGUCGUCAGCUCGUGUCGUGAGAUGUUGGGUUAAGUCCCGCAACGAGCGCAACCCUUAAGCUUAGUUGCCAUCAUUAAGUUGGGCACUCUAAGUUGACUGCCGGUGACAAACCGGAGGAAGGUGGGGAUGGCGUCAAAUCAUCAUGCCCCUUAUGAUUUGGGCUACACACGUGCUACAAUGGACAAUACAAAGGGCAGCGAAACCGCGAGGUCAAGCAAAUCCCAUAAAGUUGUUCUCAGUUCGGAUUGUAGUCUGCAACUCGACUACAUGAAGCUGGAAUCGCUAGUAAUCGUAGAUCAGCAUGCUACGGUGAAUACGUUCCCGGGUCU